Molecule: ribosomal RNA, 301 nt
Filed under: uncultured bacterium
Lineage: Bacteria
Description: partial 16S ribosomal RNA
Rfam family: Bacterial small subunit ribosomal RNA
Source: RNAcentral
AAGCAGCCGCGGGAAUACGGAGGGUGCAAGCGUUAAUCCGAAUUACUGGGCGUAAAGCGCACGCAGGCGGUCUGACAAGUCAGAUGUGAAAUCCCCGGGCUUAACCUGGGAACUGCAUUUGAAACUGUCAGGCUGGAGUCUUGUAGAGGGGGGUGGAAUUCCAGGUGUAGCGGUGAAAUGCGUAGAGAUCUGGAGGAAUACCGGUGGCGAAGGCGGCCCCCUGGACAAAGACUGACGCUCAGGUGCGAAAGCGUGGGGAGCAAACAGGAUUAGAGACCCCUGUAGUCCCUGUCUCUUAUAC